Culex quinquefasciatus (southern house mosquito) is the source of this 253-nucleotide long non-coding RNA. RefSeq lists it as uncharacterized. The transcript is spliced from 3 exons. Lineage: Eukaryota; Metazoa; Arthropoda; Insecta; Diptera; Culicidae. The record is from RefSeq and is a predicted model, not a curated record.
GUUAGUGAAAUCGCGUGUGUUCGUGAAAAAGGCAACAUCCGGCGUUUGUCCAACACGGUCUUGGACAAAUUUGCCGGGUGACCGAACCGGAACGGCUCUGGGAUGGCGGAAUUUUCAUAUUUGGGGACUUCUUCUACCAGGCCCGGCGCCUGCUGCGGACACUUCCGGCCGGAUUUGUUCAGGAUGGUCGUUUCGUCUGGAGGCGAAAAUCGUUAGGGGCCUAUUCCACUGAGGAUUGUUCUUCAUAAAUACA